RNAcentral lists this unclassified non-coding RNA (241 nucleotides) under Ambisporaceae sp. Its description in RNAcentral is "partial contains 5.8S ribosomal RNA and internal transcribed spacer 2". The stretch from base 1 to 71 matches the Rfam family "5.8S ribosomal RNA", at positions 84 to 154 of the family's 154-position model. Lineage: Eukaryota; Fungi; Glomeromycota; Glomeromycetes; Archaeosporales; Ambisporaceae. The record is from RNAcentral.
GUGAAUCAUCGAAUUUUUGAACGCAUAUUGCACUCUCUGGUAUUCCGGAGAGUAUGCCUGUUUGAGGGUAAUUAAAAAGAAUCUUUGACCAAUUUUUUUUGGUCAAAGGAAAUGAGUUCUCCGCGUUUAUAGCGGGAGCUUGAAAUAAAUGGUCAAGUCUCAUUUUCGUUGAGACACGUAAUAAUAUUAUGUCGCGAAAUCUUAGUUAUGUGUCUAUCAAGUUUUUGUGCAGACAAUGUUG